Stegostoma tigrinum is the source of this 2039-nucleotide long non-coding RNA. RefSeq lists it as uncharacterized. The transcript is spliced from 3 exons. The record is from RefSeq and is a predicted model, not a curated record. Lineage: Eukaryota; Metazoa; Chordata; Chondrichthyes; Orectolobiformes; Stegostomatidae.
CUCAAUCGGCGUCCAUGUCAAUCUGCUCGAUGUCAACACGACGUCGCAGCUUCUUUUUUCGACCUGAAAUAUGCCCCGGCAGAUCGGAUCUUCCGGACCGGACCCUCCUGCGCCCCUCUCCCGGGACGGCUGCGACCUCUCCCGCCCGCUGCCCGCGGUCUCGGCGUACGGAGCGACCGCUCGCCGACCGCCCGCAAACAUCUCGGGGUGCGCGCCGGCCACGUUCUGACUCGAUGGGCCCCUCACUGCAGGACCCCCCCGUCCCUGCAGACGCGGUUGCCAUCGCAACAACGCUUCCUCCUAGUGCACGCCGCCGCCACUAAGCGCGCGACCAAAGGUCGAAGGAACAGCGCACCUGCGCAAGGGAACGUGCAGCACUGACCGUUGGAAGCGCUCCUUCGCGCCAGCUCGCUUCUCCCUCAGCGGGGCAAGUGAAGUGGCAGUCGGUGGAGAAGGAAGAUGAAAGAAAGCAGCUUCAAGAUCGAGAAGGUUCUUUCCCCAUGAGACUGAAAUGUAUGCAGUCACCUGUCCACAGAGGAGGUGAUCUUUGCAGGUCAUUGAUGAAGCAGCUGAAUGUGUUUGGGCCCAGGACACUAUCCAGAGGAGCUCUUGUAGUGAUGUCAUAAAGCUUUGAUGAUUAGUUUCCAACAAAUGCAACCAUCUUCUUUAGUAUGAGGUGUUUGUGAGUCUACCAAUAGACACAAGGGAAUAGAAAUGGAACAGGUCCAACUGCAGCUGAAUGAAUUUGCGUUACUGCAGAGCAUGUUCGCAACUAGCAGUGAACUAUUUGUCUAUGAUGUGAUAGAGCUUGUCUCAAUUUGUAAACUGGAAUGCUGAUUUUACUCUUCAAAUCUUGCAUUCUCUAGUAAUACCAUCUCUAAAGGUGAAAGUGUUAAUACUACUUUAGCUCUAUGUGUAGAAUGUUGUUAUCUCUUAGCUUACCUAAGCAAUUAACAAGCUGUGUCUAUUAGGCAUGGAAAGCUUGCUCAAAGAAACAUUUAGAACAAAAAAAAUGGUGAACUCUGUUUAACGAAUAUAUUGCAAUAUUUCUAGGAUCAUAUCUUUAAAUAUAUCAUAAUAGACACAGAUGCUUAUAAUGAGAACAGAAAGACGGCUGAGGGGCAAGAAAGUGAGAAUGCUGCCAAGUACAUAUUCUCUAGACACCUAAUUCAGAGCCAUGACAUAUAUGGCAAAGACAAAUGGUGAAAUAUUUUGGACUGGACAAGAGCGUUGUCCCUCACUAGAUAAUACGUUCCAGGAAAAUCAGGUUGCCUCUACACGUAGGAUCGCAAACAGGAUUGAAUGAUUGUGGUCUUAAAAGAUAUGUGGACAUUUUAAAAUUUGGUUAGAAAAAUAUCCUGAGAAACAAUAUCAGGUAUAGCCACACAUUCAUUCAGGUAGUGUUGUUAAAGCAUUCUUUCAGUUGAUCAAUUCAACCAGCUGUCAUACAUGACAAAUUAAAUCCAGUUCAUAGAUUUUUUUAAAAAAUUGAAUAAUCUUCAUAUUCCUAUUUCAUUUUAAGCAAACCAUAAACAUUAUGGGUGCCAACUACAAAAUAACCCUAUUUGAAAAAAAAAUUAGAUCCACACGUAUAAAUUUCAAUGCCUCUAACUUGUAAAAAUGACAGUGGGGUACUCUGAACGUUAUCAACCAACCGUUCCCCUCACCAUUGCAUUGGAGAUAAUGGCACUCUUUGUUUUUGUAAGGCAAAAAUCUUACAGCUCAGAAUAUUAAGACUCCUAUAUUUUCAUUUGUUGCUAAUUGUGGGAAUAUGUACAACCAGUGGGUUCAAAAAUUUAUAAGGUAAGUAAUCUGUCAGUAAUUCCUGAACUAUCCAUUUUAAUGUUUUAAACAACAUAGGAUAAAAUACUUCUUUAGUUAGGAUUUGUUAUUUUAAAUCAUUGGAAUCUAAAUCUGUCUACACUUUGAUCUGAUUCUUGGAGAGGAAACAUUCUCAAGAUGCUGACACUGACAUAAUUUUCCAAAACAACAUUUUUAACAUAGAAUAUUUAUUUUAUGUUUAUAUGUAGUGUAAAAUA